GAAUGCUGACAUAAGUAACGAUAAAGCGGGUGAAAAGCCCGCUCGCCGGAAGACCAAGGGUUCCUGUCCAACGUUAAUCGGGGCAGGGUGAGUCGACCCCUAAGGCGAGGCCGAAAGGCGUAGUCGAUGGGAAACAGGUUAAUAUUCCUGUACUUGGUGUUACUGCGAAGGGGGGACGGAGAAGGCUAUGUUGGCCGGGCGACGGUUGUCCCGGUUUAAGCGUGUAGGCUGAUUUUCCAGGCAAAUCCGGAAAAUCAAGGCUGAGGCGUGAUGACGAGGCACUACGGUGCUGAAGCAACAAAUGCCCUGCUUCCAGGAAAAGCCUCUAAGCAUCAGGUAACAUCAAAUCGUACCCCAAACCGACACAGGUGGUCAGGUAGAGAAUACCAAGGCGCUUGAGAGAACUCGGGUGAAGGAACUAGGCAAAAUGGUGCCGUAACUUCGGGAGAAGGCACGCUGAUAUGUAGGUGAAGCGACUUGCUCGUGGAGCUGAAAUCAGUCGAAGAUACCAGCUGGCUGCAACUGUUUAUUAAAAACACAGCACUGUGCAAACACGAAAGUGGACGUAUACGGUGUGACGCCUGCCCGGUGCCGGAAGGUUAAUUGAUGGGGUUAGCGGUAACGCGAAGCUCUUGAUCGAAGCCCCGGUAAACGGCGGCCGUAACUAUAACGGUCCUAAGGUAGCGAAAUUCCUUGUCGGGUAAGUUCCGACCUGCACGAAUGGCGUAAUGAUGGCCAGGCUGUCUCCACCCGAGACUCAGUGAAAUUGAACUCGCUGUGAAGAUGCAGUGUACCCGCGGCAAGACGGAAAGACCCCGUGAACCUUUACUAUAGCUUGACACUGAACAUUGAGCCUUGAUGUGUAGGAUAGGUGGGAGGCUUUGAAGUGUGGACGCCAGUCUGCAUGGAGCCGACCUUGAAAUACCACCCUUUAAUGUUUGAUGUUCUAACGUUGGCCCCUGAUCGGGGUUGCGGACAGUGUCUGGUGGGUAGUUUGACUGGGGCGGUCUCCUCCUAAAGAGUAACGGAGGAGCACGAAGGUUGGCUAAUCCUGGUCGGACAUCAGGAGGUUAGUGCAAUGGCAUAAGCCAGCUUGACUGCGAGCGUGACGGCGCGAGCAGGUGCGAAAGCAGGUCAUAGUGAUCCGGUGGUUCUGAAUGGAAGGGCCAUCGCUCAACGGAUAAAAGGUACUCCGGGGAUAACAGGCUGAUACCGCCCAAGAGUUCAUAUCGACGGCGGUGUUUGGCACCUCGAUGUCGGCUCAUCACAUCCUGGGGCUGAAGUAGGUCCCAAGGGUAUGGCUGUUCGCCAUUUAAAGUGGUACGCGAGCUGGGUUUAGAACGUCGUGAGACAGUUCGGUCCCUAUCUGCCGUGGGCGCUGGAGAACUGAGGGGGGCUGCUCCUAGUACGAGAGGACCGGAGUGGACGCAUCACUGGUGUUCGGGUUGUCAUGCCAAUGGCACUGCCCGGUAGCUAAAUGCGGAAGAGAUAAGUGCUGAAAGCAUCUAAGCACGAAACUUGCCCCGAGAUGAGUUCUCCCUGACUCCUUGAGAGUCCUGAAGGAACGUUGAAGACGACGACGUUGAUAGGCCGGGUGUGUAAGCGCAGCGAUGCGUUGAGCUAACCGGUACUAAUGAACCGUGAGG
Molecule: ribosomal RNA, 1646 nt
Filed under: Escherichia coli
Lineage: Bacteria; Pseudomonadati; Pseudomonadota; Gammaproteobacteria; Enterobacterales; Enterobacteriaceae
Description: partial 23S ribosomal RNA
Rfam family: Bacterial large subunit ribosomal RNA
Source: RNAcentral